UGCUGAAUUAUUCGCCAAUGCGCGAAAGCGUGACGGUGCGACGCCGCGUGCGGGACGAAGGCCCUAGGGUCGUAAACCGCUGUCAGGGUUUCGGAAACCGUAGAGGUUAAUAGCCUCUGCGCUGACCCGACCCAAAGGAAGCACAGGCUAAUCUCGUGCCAGCAGCCGCGGUAAUACGAGAUGUGCGAGCGUUGUUCGGAAUUACUGGGCAUAAAGGGUGCGCAGGCGGCCAUGUUAGUCAGGUGUGAAAUCCCUCGGCUCAACCGGGGAAUUGCAUCUGAUACUGCAUGGCUUGAGAACGAAAGGGGCAAGCGGAGUUCCAGGUGUAGCGGUGGAAUGCGUAGAUAUCUGGGAGAACGCCAAUGGCGAAGGCAGCUUGCUGGGUCGUUUCUGACGCUCAUGCACGAAAGCUAGGGGAGCAAACA
This 425-nucleotide ribosomal RNA is filed under the name uncultured bacterium. Its description in RNAcentral is "bacterial SSU rRNA". It matches the Rfam family "Bacterial small subunit ribosomal RNA", at positions 355 to 774 of the family's 1533-position model. The record is from RNAcentral.